Molecule: long non-coding RNA, 3355 nt
Organism: Drosophila yakuba
Lineage: Eukaryota; Metazoa; Arthropoda; Insecta; Diptera; Drosophilidae
Exons: 2
Source: RefSeq, a predicted model, not a curated record
GAUAAUCAAAAAAAAAAAACAAUAAAAUAGGGAAAAAGAAUGAAAAAAAUCACAGAGGGAGGGAGGACUCAACACAACAGGUUCGGGCCAUAAAAUGCGAAGAAACCGUUUCAUUUUUCCUGACUUUUUGCAAAAGGUGUAAACACGAGGCCCCUGAGGUGGGAGGUAGUGCAUGUGGAAGUGGACGUAAACGUGGACAUGAAUGUGGAUGUGAGUGUGGACGUGAAUGUGAAUGUGGAUGUGGCGGAGGACGUGGAUGGAGGCUAGACACUUGCGCACACUAAACGAUUCGGUUUUCAGGUGUUAAAAACUACCUGUACCUGAUGCAGAGAGUCCGAUUUCGGAGCAUGAAAUCGCCGGCCGUGCUGGAAAAAUGCUGGAAAAAUGCCAUGAAAUGGGCUUUCGUCAAAUUAGCGUGGCAGCGUUAACCGAUGGAGGGAUGUGUGCUUCUAGAAUGAGUUUAGGGUACGAUGGCCCGGAUGCUGAGCGCAAAAUGCAUCUAACAGAUGCACCUUCUCUGUGGGAUAUUUCGCACUUUGUGCCUCACAUUCUAGAUUCUAGGUUUUUUUUUUGUUGUUGUUGUUGUUGUUGUUGUUUAGCUCUCCAUUCUGUUCGCUCGUUUGGGUCGUUUGCCCAUGUCUGUGCUACCUGCUGCCUUGAUUUAUAUAUUCUUACUGCAAAACUGCAUUCGGUUUUUAUCUGUAUCUGCAUUUGCAUGACACAAAACCUGGCCGGGGCCCUGUUAUCUAACUCGAAGAAUGCCCGUUCCCUCUGACUUUGGCACUUGAUCUACCAUAUACUACCAUAUACCGCUCAAGAUGAAGCCGAAUGCUGAAUGCAGCAUACUGAAUACUGAAUACUGAAGAGACUCCACUACGGCUGAGGCCUCAUAAAUUCUCUCGUCGUUUAGUUUUUACGAUUGUCGGCUGGCUUUGUUUGGCCGAGGCACACACAACUGUGGGCAAGGUAAUAGCACUUGUUGGGCCUUUGAAAAUGUAUUUCAGCGCAAGUGUAUUAUGUCACGAUUGUCCUAUCUAUUAGACUAGUAUAUUAGUAUAUUUUUAUAACCUCUUUCUAAUUAUGCUCAAAAUUAAAUAAAGUUAGAAGGUGGGUCGAAUUCCUACGAGAUUUGUUUAGUAGCAGGAUAAGCAAAAAUUCCUAAACCAAGUUGGAUUCUUUAGAUUACCAGUUUUAUCUAGCAAAUAAUAUAAAUGAGUAAGUGUUCUUAAUCAUACUUGUAAGUAACUAUUAUUCUGACCGCGUCUGUGAGCGCUAGCACACACAGAGCAACACGAACUCACAGAUACAGGCCGCUUGUAUCUUUCGACGUUGGCCUAUCUAAAUACAUGCUGAAGAGUUGAAGUGCCAGGGACCCCAAGCCAAAGAAACGGCAGCGACAACAGCCUCCUGCCAAGAUCUCUGCGCCUGCGUACUGUACUCGGAAACUCGGAAACUGGGGAACUUGGGAACUUGGAAACUCAGCACUCGGAGCAAUACCAAAACCAAGACCAAACUAAAAAGCCAAAGCCAAGACCAAGAAAAGACCCAGUCUGAGAUGAGAGGCUACCAAAAACUGGUCCCUGGGCCAAAGUUUGCGUGCUUUGCUGAAAUUUUUACGCUGGACCCGGCACCCGAAAACAAAAAAACUCUCUUUCAGCUCAGAGAAGAACAUUCAGGUAGUACCCCUUAGGCAUUUCAUAUUUUUGGCCAAUGUCCAGGAAUUGCGAUGAAUGGAGAGGUCGAGGGAAACAAGAACACGGCAUUAAUGAUGCAUUAAAAUGUAUUCAUAAAGGCGUGCAACUAUUUUAACGGUCUUUAGGUGCCCAUUCAGCUCUCGAGGAAUUCAGGAAAUGCCUGGAAAUAGCGUAUUAUACGAGAAAUGGACUGUGAAGAUUUAAUGGGUUUCUAGCUCGGGAAAUUCGAUACUACUCCGGGCAUAGUACGCUGGGCCACCCACAGCUGACGACCAUAUAUCUAAAUCUGAUCUAAAUCUAGCCAAGGGUUAUGGAAAAUCCCAAAGCCCGCAUAUCGGCCCACGAAAAUGUUGCUUUUAAUUAUGACACAUUUAAGAAAGCCACAGAUUUACGUCCGUAAGUUCACCCAAGCCCCUAAAUUGCUGUCGAGUCAUAAGUCGAGGGCCACAAAACUCCAAAAGAAAAGACCGACGCAGGGAGAUAGGGAUAGGAGAAAGGAGACGGAGAAGGGGAAGGGAAAGGAGAUGGAGACAGUGAGUGUGACUUGACGAAAGUACUUUCAUUUUCACGCUCAUAAAAUGGGACUACCAUUAAACUUAAAAAUGCCGUCGUAAAAACUUAAAAAUCAGAAACGUAGCAGCCAAGCGGCGGCCAAGUUAAGCGGCUUAAAUGACAUUUAAAUCAGUCGAAAUACCCAACGGGGGGAACAGAAUUUGUAUGGCCAAAACAGACAGGCGACACUGUAUGGAAAGGUAAACACUUGAGACUGAAGAUCCCUUUCACUGCACAGUGGACAGGACAGGAAGUUCGCACUUUGGCAAAGAUCGAAGAACCCCAAAAUGAGCAAUGGAAAUUAAAACUAUAAAGAAACCCCCGGCGAGAGGCCCAUUCCAGCACACGUCUUCUUCGGUUUCUCCCCGUGAUUACGCUUUAAUCUCGUUAUAAUGAGGCAGGAAAAUUGCUUGGCGGAUGUGCCGAGCGUGCCCGAAACGGGAACGGGAAUGGGAAUCGGCUUGGGAUUGGGAUUGGGAUUGCAAUUGGGAUGGGUACAUUUAGUAUGGUACAUGAGGUAUGGGCACUCGAAUCUGGAACCUGGAGCUGCGGUUGACAUCCUGGUUGCCAGCUGGGCAGCACUCAUCUCUCUCUCUCUCUCUGAUUCCCUAACUCGAGUGCAGCUGAGAUUAAAUUACCAGGGAAAAAACGUGGGGAGGACCAUCUCAAACGGGGACAGGCACAAUGCAAAAGGUAGAGACAAGCGGCAGACAGCAGAUACACUUGUUCGCGUAAUCUGUUCCCCACUUUUGUGUCCCCUCCCCCUUUUCGGAAAUAUGAUGCCGCCAAGGCACAGGUCGCAAACAAACCGAAGACACCGAAGAUCGGGAGGCACAAAAAAGGGUCCCAGGAAAGAGUUGUGCGAUAAGUGGAGCACACACACACACGUUUUAUUUGGGUCUCUCUUUUUUGGGUCUGAUAAGGCGAGCAUGAAUGAAGGUUGUUUUCUUAUAAUUCUGGGAAGAACUCAGAUGAUGGCUCCACUUAGUCCAUUAGCCGAGAGGAUGGAAACAUAUAGAAACUAAGUUAGAAAACACCCAUAAAAUCCAACUAAAGGAGGAAUGUUCCUAAUAUUCAAAUUCUUUAAAACAGAGACCUAUCUAAAUUAA